Molecule: ribosomal RNA, 482 nt
Filed under: uncultured bacterium
Lineage: Bacteria
Description: bacterial SSU rRNA
Rfam family: Bacterial small subunit ribosomal RNA
Source: RNAcentral
UUGAACGCUGGCGGAAUGCUUUACACAUGCAAGUCGAGCGGCAGCGCGGGGGCAACCUUGGCGGCGAGCGGCGAACGGGUGAGUAACAUAUCGGAACGUACCCAGAAGUGGGGGAUAACGUAGCGAAAGUUACGCUAAUACCGCAUAUGCCCUGAGGGGGAAAGGGGGGGAUCGCAAGACCUCUCGCUUUCGGAGUGGCCGAUAUCGGAUUAGCUAGUUGGUGAGGUAAAGGCUCACCAAGGCGACGAUCCGUAGCUGGUCUGAGAGGACGACCAGCCACACUGGAACUGAGACACGGUCCAGACUCCUACGGGAGGCAGCAGUGGGGAAUUUUGGACAAUGGGCGCAAGCCUGAUCCAGCCAUACCGCGUGAGUGAAGAAGGCCUUCGGGUUGUAAAGCUCUUUCAGCCGGAAAGAAAUUGCUUCUAUUAAUACUAGGAGUAGAUGACGGUACCGGAAGAAGAAGCACCGGCUAACUACGU